UACGGAGGGUGCAAGCGUUGUUCGGAAUUAUUGGGCGUAAAGCGCGUGUAGGCGGUUUGUUAAGUCUGAUGUGAAAGCCCUGGGCUCAACCUGGGAAGUGCAUUGGAAACUGGCAGACUUGAAUACGGGAGAGGGUAGUGGAAUUCCUAGUGUAGGAGUGAAAUCCGUAGAUAUUAGGAGGAACACCGGUGGCGAAGGCGGCUACCUGGACCGAUAUUGACGCUGAGACGCGAAAGCGUGGGUAGCAAACAGGAUUAGAUACCCCCGUAGUCC
Molecule: ribosomal RNA, 273 nt
Filed under: uncultured bacterium
Lineage: Bacteria
Description: partial 16S ribosomal RNA
Rfam family: Bacterial small subunit ribosomal RNA
Source: RNAcentral